RNAcentral lists this ribosomal RNA (395 nucleotides) under uncultured bacterium. RNAcentral's name for it is "bacterial SSU rRNA". It matches the Rfam family "Bacterial small subunit ribosomal RNA", at positions 28 to 416 of the family's 1533-position model. The record is from RNAcentral.
GACGAACGCUGGCGGCGCGCUUAACACAUGCAAGUCGAACGGGGUCCUUCCUUCGGGGAGGGUUCAGUGGCGAACGGGUGCGUAACACGUGAGCAACCUGCCGGGUGGUGGGGGAUAACCCAUGGAAACGUGGGCUAAUACCGCAUGAGUUCAGCCUUUCGAGUGAAGGGUUGAGGAAAGGUGCUGCAAGGCACUGCCAUCUGAGGGGCUCGCGGCGUAUCAGCUAGUUGGUGGGGUAACGGCUCACCAAGGCAGCGACGCGUAGCCGAUCUGAGAGGAUGAUCGGCCACAUUGGGACUGAGAUACGGCCCAGACUCCUACGGGAGGCAGCAGUGGGGAAUCUUGCGCAAUGGGCGAAAGCCUGACGCAGCGACGCCGCGUGCGGGAGGAAGCUC